MicroRNA precursor from Cricetulus griseus (Chinese hamster), 58 nucleotides. The record is from Ensembl. NCBI's taxonomy places the organism in Eukaryota, Metazoa, Chordata, Mammalia, Rodentia, Cricetidae.
CCUCCCACUGGACCCGGGGCUGGGCGCUUUCCUGUCAGCUCCUGGGCACUGUAAGAGA